This 23-nucleotide microRNA is filed under the name Caenorhabditis elegans. RNAcentral describes it as "cel-miR-4923a". The record is from miRBase by way of RNAcentral. Lineage: Eukaryota; Metazoa; Nematoda; Chromadorea; Rhabditida; Rhabditidae.
AAAAGAGAGCCUUUUGUUUACAG